UACGUAGGGUGCGAGCGUUGCCCGGAUUUAUUGGGCGUAAAGGGCGCGUAGGCGGUGAGAUGCGUCCGUUGUGAAAUCGCCCGGCUCAACUGGGCGGGGUCAGCGGAUACGGUCUCACUUGAGCAAGCUAGGGGGCAAUGGAAUUCCCGGUGUAGUGGUGGAAUGCGUAGAUAUCGGGAGGAAUACCUAUGGCGAAAGCAGUCUUCUGGACCGUCACUGACUCUGAUCUGCGAAAGCUAGGGGAGCAAACAGG
RNAcentral lists this ribosomal RNA (253 nucleotides) under uncultured bacterium. RNAcentral's name for it is "partial 16S ribosomal RNA". It matches the Rfam family "Bacterial small subunit ribosomal RNA", at positions 524 to 776 of the family's 1533-position model. The record is from RNAcentral.